AACGAACGCUGGCGGCAGGCCUAACACAUGCAAGUCGAACGCCGUAGCAAUACGGAGUGGCAGACGGGUGAGUAACGCGUGGGAACAUACCCCUCGGUUCGGAAUAACUCAGGGAAACUUGAGCUAAUACCGGAUACGUCCGAGGUUUUAAUCGACCUUGGAGAAAGAUUUAUCGCCAUUGGAUGGGCCCGCGUAGGAUUAGCUAGUUGGUGAGGUAACGGCUCACCAAGGCGACGAUCCUAGCUGGUCUGAGAGGAUGAUCAGCCACACUGGGACUGAGACACGGCCCAGACUCCUACGGGAGGCAGCAGUGGGGAAUAUUGGACAAUGGGCGCAAGCCUGAUCCAGCCAUGCCGCGUGAGUGACGAAGGCCUUAGGGUUGUAAAGCUCUUUUGGCGGGGAAGAUAAUGACGGUACCCGCAGAAUAAGCUCCGGCUAACUUCGUGCCAGCCGCCGCCGUAAG
This 463-nucleotide ribosomal RNA is filed under the name uncultured bacterium. RNAcentral's name for it is "bacterial SSU rRNA". It matches the Rfam family "Bacterial small subunit ribosomal RNA", at positions 29 to 524 of the family's 1533-position model. The record is from RNAcentral.